GGAAGCCGGGGAGAAGUGUUGAAAGUGGAAACCCAAGCCCAGGGGAGAUCCCUAGGGUGAGGAGCCCGAGGGGGCGCGCCCAGGCUUGGGGGUAGCGGGUAGAGGCGCUGCCUCGCGGACCCGCGAAUGGGACCCUGUCUGAACCCCGCAUCUCGGCUCAGCUGGGCGGAGGGGGAGGCCGCGGGAGGAGCCUUCCCCAGACCCAGCCCAGGCCCGGGCGCCGCAGACGGUCUACGCCAGGUUCCUCAGGGACCCCGAGGCCAAGAAGCGCGACCCCCGGGAAACCUUUCUGGUAGCCCGUGCCCCAGACGCGGAGGACGGCACUCCCAAAGGCGCGAGGAAGGAGGAAGAAGAGGAGGAGGAGGCAGCUACGGUGACAAAGAACAGCAAUCAAAAGGGCAAAGCCAAAGGAAAAGGCAAAAAGAAAGCGAAGGAGGAGAGGGCCCCGUCUCCCCCCGUGGAGGUGGACGAACCCCGGGAGUUUGUGCUCCGGCCUGCCCCCCAGGGCCGCACGGUGCGCUGCCGGCUGACCCGGGACAAAAAGGGCAUGGAUCGAGGCAUGUAUCCCUCCUACUUCCUGCACCUGGACACGGAGAAGAAGGUGUUCCUCUUGGCUGGCAGGAAACGAAAACGGAGCAAGACAGCCAAUUACCUCAUCUCCAUCGACCCUACCAAUCUGUCCCGAGGAGGGGAGAAUUUCAUCGGGAAGCUGAGGUCCAACCUCCUGGGGAACCGCUUCACGGUCUUUGACAACGGGCAGAACCCACAGCGUGGGUACAGCACUAAUGUGGCAAGCCUUCGGCAGGAGCUGG
Molecule: small RNA, 812 nt
Filed under: Pan troglodytes (chimpanzee)
Lineage: Eukaryota; Metazoa; Chordata; Mammalia; Primates; Hominidae
Description: retained intron
Source: RNAcentral